Molecule: non-coding RNA, 111 nt
Filed under: Mucilaginibacter lappiensis
Lineage: Bacteria; Pseudomonadati; Bacteroidota; Sphingobacteriia; Sphingobacteriales; Sphingobacteriaceae
Also listed under: 1 other name
Description: SAM-I sequence
Rfam family: SAM riboswitch aptamer (S box leader)
About the family: The SAM riboswitch is found upstream of a number of genes which code for proteins involved in methionine or cysteine biosynthesis in Gram-positive bacteria. The SAM riboswitch acts at the level of transcription termination control. The predicted structure consists of a complex stem-loop region followed by a single stem loop terminator region.
Source: RNAcentral
GAUUUAUAAAGAAGCGGCGAGAGAUCAGGCUCAAUGACCCGCUGGCAACCCUCCAAAAUUGGAGAAGGUGCCAAUUCCUGUCCCGGAAAAUAACCCCGGGGAAUAUAAAUU